This 620-nucleotide ribosomal RNA is filed under the name uncultured bacterium. RNAcentral's name for it is "bacterial SSU rRNA". It matches the Rfam family "Bacterial small subunit ribosomal RNA", at positions 66 to 681 of the family's 1533-position model. The record is from RNAcentral.
GGUAACAGGGGAGCUUGCUCCCGCUGACGACCGGCGAACGGGUGAGUAACACGUACGCAGCCUACCUCUUACAGAAGAAUAGCCCCGGGAAACUGGGAUUAAUACUUCAUAACAUCCAUUUUUCGCAUGAUUUUUGGAUUAAAGCUCCGGCGGUAAGAGAUGGGCGUGCGUCCCAUUAGAUUGUUGGUGAGGUAACGGCUCACCAAGUCGACGAUGGGUAGCUGGCGUGAGAGCGCGAUCAGCCACACGGGCACUGAGACACGGGCCCGACUCCUACGGGAGGCAGCAGUAGGGAAUAUUGGACAAUGGGCGCAAGCCUGAUCCAGCCAUGCCGCGUGCAGGAUGACUGCCCUAUGGGUUGUAAACUGCUUUUUUCAGGGAAGAAACCUACGAAUUCACUUCGUAGCUGACGGUACCUGAGGAAUAAGCACCGGCUAACUCCGUGCCAGCAGCCGCGGUAAUACGGAGGGUGCAAGCGUUAUCCGGAUUCACUGGGUCUAAAGGGUGUGUAGGGUGGAUCGUUAAGUCAGAGGUGAAAGCCCCGAGCUCAACUCGGGAAUUGCCUUUGAAACUAUCGAUCUUGAGUUCAGUUGAGGUGGGCGGAAUGUAGCAUGUAGCGG